RNAcentral lists this long non-coding RNA (1164 nucleotides) under Marmota monax (woodchuck). Lineage: Eukaryota; Metazoa; Chordata; Mammalia; Rodentia; Sciuridae. The record is from RNAcentral.
AAAUUCUGCCUGGUAUCACUGAAAUGUGGUCACAUUGCAAUGUCUCUGGUACCUGAGAGUAGGGUGCCAGCCUCUGUCAAAACAGACUCCAUUCCAGAGCUGGUAUAGUCAAAAGAAUAUAACUUUCUUGGGGUGGUCACCAUAUAAAGUCCAGUUUUGCCUAUUUAGCAUGUGAGUCUCCCCAAGGUUGUGACCUUCCUUGAGGAAGACCCUUUCCUUGGGCUUCCUAAUAAAGGGGCUCCUUGUACUCUGCUAGAGGCUGAGGUAGCUUCAGGGUAGAGUAGCUUCAGGGUUCUGCCCCAGGGUAGAGAACUCUGAAAACUUCUGGAGCCUGGAGGUUCCUUCAGGUCAAGUUGACCCUACCCACCCUGAAGUUUCCUGGGCAUUUCUCUUCCUCUCAUUCAGAGAUUGCAAAUUGGUAGCCUGCACACCUGCUUUGCUUCCCACAUUGUUCAAAAAAGAUUUUACAUAAAUAUCUAGAUUUUUUUAGGAAAAAAAAUCAGUACAUAUGAGAACACAGAGCUGGCACUCACUCACUGAACAAGUCAGCAGGAGCUGAACAGAAGAAUGUCUGGGUGGGGUGGGGACCCAGCUUAUGACUUAUUUAGAGACAGGGUCUUGCUGAGUUGCUUAGACCCUUGCUAAGUUGUUGAGGCUAGCUUUGAAUUCACGAUCCUUCUGCUUCAGCCUCCAGAGCUGCUGGGAUUACAGAUGUGCACCAUGAAGCCCUAAGUCCCCCCAUCCCUUUUCCACACACACACAUAUACAUCCAGCUGUCUCCCCUAGCAGACUACAAACCCCAUGAGGGCAGGAACAAUUGAUGUGCUUCACAUGGCAAGUUCUCAGUGAUGUACUUCUUGCCUCCACUCCAGCUCUCUAUAGCACCUCCUUGGCCCUCAGGAUUUAAACGUCUCUUCUGGUUCCAGGUGUAGGGGGUCAUGAUUCCUGAAGACUUAUGGGAAAGGAGAGGAUGUCAUCCUGGGUCUUGGGGAAGCGGAGGCCUGAGCGGCCACUUUGCUGGAACUUCUUACUCUUUGUGGCCACUGGCCUCUGCUGGAAUUUCAGAAGCACUCACCCCAUUUUGGUUUGUUUUGGGGGGUUCUUUUUGUUUGUUUGUUUUUAUUUUUGCCAUUUUUUAAAGAUCAAAACAUCGUUUCAUAGCUG